UACGGAGGGAGCUAGCGUUGUUCGGAAUUACUGGGCGUAAAGCGCACGUAGGCGGCUCUUUAAGUCAGGGGUGAAAUCCCGGGGCUCAACCCCGGAACUGCCCUUGAAACUGGAAAGCUAGAAUCCUGGAGAGGUGAGUGGAAUUCCGAGUGUAGAGGUGAAAUUCGUAGAUAUUCGGAAGAACACCAGUGGCGAAGGCGACUCACUGGACAGGUAUUGACGCUGAGGUGCGAAAGCGUGGGGAGCAAAC
This 250-nucleotide ribosomal RNA is filed under the name uncultured bacterium. RNAcentral describes it as "partial 16S ribosomal RNA". It matches the Rfam family "Bacterial small subunit ribosomal RNA", at positions 524 to 773 of the family's 1533-position model. The record is from RNAcentral.